RNAcentral lists this long non-coding RNA (344 nucleotides) under Nicotiana benthamiana. RNAcentral's name for it is "long non-coding RNA (NBEN_LNC018800)". Lineage: Eukaryota; Viridiplantae; Streptophyta; Magnoliopsida; Solanales; Solanaceae. The record is from RNAcentral.
AGUCGGACUAGCCAAAAUCUGAUCGCGUACUGAGUCAAGAUCAUUAGGAAGCCCAGCAAGAGUAAGAACUAGAAACAACUUUUGUCGUUGCUCUUGCUUCUUUGCAACGCUAGCAGAAACUGGCAUCAACGUCUCAAAUUCCUCCAUAACUGCCUGUACUUCUCCCAAGUAAGUAGACAUAUCUAAUUCCUGUUUCUUUAAAUUUGUCAUCCGCGAAAUCACAUCAUAGAAAUGAGUUAUGUCAUUAGUGUAUAAAGUACGAGCCUUUUCCCAAACAAAAUAACAUGUUUGGAAUGGACGAAACAAGGGCAUCAACUUGGAAUCAAUAGAUUGCCAUAAAAUAC